This 416-nucleotide unclassified non-coding RNA is filed under the name Thalictrum clavatum. RNAcentral's name for it is "partial external transcribed spacer". Lineage: Eukaryota; Viridiplantae; Streptophyta; Magnoliopsida; Ranunculales; Ranunculaceae. The record is from RNAcentral.
UGUCUGCCCUUGGGCUCCCUGCUUUGCGCAGCGAACCAUGUGCACACGCUCCUCUUCAUUAAUGUCCGAGGAAGCUCAUUGCUCCCUCGGCGCCUAGACGGUUCCCGUGUUGCGUACCCAGUAAAUAAAGAGGAAUAUACUAUCGUAAGCGGAAUUGUUUGCUCCUAACCGACCUAGGUCGGCACGGAGCAACUCGAUCGUGGGUCUUGUGAAGCCAACCCCCAACGGCCUCGUUGGGCGCUUGGUUAACGAUUCUCCAUGUGCUCUGGGAUGUGGUGAACGUGGUUGAGGCCGGGUUUUCCAACUCGGCCAAAGCAUUAUUUGCCGGUUAAGAUUGACUGCCGUGCCCACGCCGUCGUUCCCUGGCUAGUCUGGCGGAAUGGCGGGGUGGCGCCGGUGUCGCAAAGGAAUGCUAC